GAGUUUGAUCUUGGCUCAGAUUGAACGCUGGCGGCAUGCCUUACACAUGCAAGUCGAACGGCAGCAUGAUCUAGCUUGCUAGAUUGAUGGCGAGUGGCGAACGGGUGAGUAAUACAUCGGAACGUGCCCUGUAGUGGGGGAUAACUAGUCGAAAGAUUAGCUAAUACCGCAUACGACCUGAGGGUGAAAGUGGGGGACCGCAAGGCCUCAUGCUAUAGGAGCGGCCGAUGUCUGAUUAGCUAGUUGGUGGGGUAAAGGCCCACCAGGGCGACGAUCAGUAGCUGGUCUGAGAGGACGAUCAGCCACACUGGGACUGAGACACGGCCCAGACUCCUACGGGAGGCAGCAGUGGGGAAUUUUGGACAAUGGGGGCAACCCUGAUCCAGCAAUGCCGCGUGUGUGAAGAAGGCCUC
Molecule: ribosomal RNA, 413 nt
Filed under: uncultured microorganism
Description: bacterial SSU rRNA
Rfam family: Bacterial small subunit ribosomal RNA
Source: RNAcentral